UUAAGUUUUUCAUCUCUUGUAUGAGAUACACGAUACUCUCUCUACUUAGUUAUAGUCUUUUUACAUAUUAGUGCGGGAAAUAUCCAAAGGAUCUUGGUGGACUAGCUUUGGAGGGAAGACACUUGGGCUCCUAGGAGAUAAGGGAAACAUCAACUUCAACAAGUUUAAGGAGCAAAGGAGUUGUUUGGUUUACUACAAAAAUGGCAUCCUCUGUAUCACUGCGCGAUUUAAUGGAUUUGAAUAAGUUGACCGAGCCCAACUGUGUGAAAACUAAAGGAGCUUGUCACUACUGUGGGAAGGAAUUUCAUUGGAUGAGGAACUGCAAAGCCUAUCAUGAAAGCAAGAAGAAAGAUGCAAAUGUUGCUUCUUCCUCGGAUAUUUUUAUGAUUAAAUUUAAUUUUCUAUACAUCAUUCUACUUCUCAUGGGUAUUUGAUACCGCAUGUGAUGCUCAUAUAUGUAAUUCUCUACAAGUGUUAGAGCAGAAGUAGAAAACUGGCUAAAGGUCUAGUGGAGCUUCGAGUUGCCCAUGGUGCAAAAGUUGUUGCCUUAACUGUAGGAAAUGUCUAUCUUUUGUUGCCUUCUAACAAGUUUGUAGAACUAAACAAUGUUUAUUAUGUACUAGAAUGUGUGUAAAAUAUUAUAUUAUUUUCCUUGUUAUGUGAACAAGGUUAUGAUUUGAAUGUUUAAAGCAAUAGUUGCUCAUUGCAUCA
Molecule: long non-coding RNA, 711 nt
Organism: Lycium ferocissimum
Lineage: Eukaryota; Viridiplantae; Streptophyta; Magnoliopsida; Solanales; Solanaceae
Exons: 2
Source: RefSeq, a predicted model, not a curated record